Molecule: ribosomal RNA, 305 nt
Filed under: uncultured bacterium
Lineage: Bacteria
Description: bacterial SSU rRNA
Rfam family: Bacterial small subunit ribosomal RNA
Source: RNAcentral
ACCUACGGGGCGCAGCAGUAGGGAAUUUUCGUCAAUGGGCGCAAGCCUGAACGAGCAAUGCCGCGUGAACGAGGAAGGUCUUCGGAUCGUAAAGUUCUGUUGAAGGGGAAAAAGAGCGGAGAGAGGAAAUGCUUUCUGAUUGAUAUUACCCUUCGAGGAAGUCACGGCUAACUACGUGCCAGCAGCCGCGGUAAUACGUAGGUGGCGAGCGUUAUCCGGAUUGAUUGGGCGUAAAGGGUGCGUAGGCGGCCUGCUAAGUCUGGAGUGAAAGGUACCGGCUCAACCGGUACAGGCUCUGGAAACUG